AGUGAACGCUGGCGGUAGGCCUAACACAUGCAAGUCGAACGGCAGCACAGUAAGAGCUUGCUCUUACGGGUGGCGAGUGGCGGACGGGUGAGGAAUACAUCGGAAUCUACUUUUUCGUGGGGGAUAACGUGGGGAAACUUACGCUAAUACCGCAUACGACCUACGGGUGAAAGCAGUGGAUCUUCGGACCUUGCGCGAUUGAAUGAGCCGAUGUCGGAUUAGCUAGUUGGCGGGGUAAAGGCCCACCAAGGCGACGAUCCGUAGCUGGUCUGAGAGGAUGAUCAGCCACACUGGAACUGAAACACGGUCCAGACUCCUACGGGAGGCAGCAGUGGGGAAUAUUGGACAAUGGGCGCAAGCCUGAUCCAGCCAUACCGCGUGGGUGAAGAAGGCCUUCGGGUUGUAAAGCCCUUUUGUUGGGAAAGAAAAGCAGCAGGUUAAUACCCCGCUGUUCUGACGGUACCCAAAGAAUAAGCACCGGCUAACUUCGUG
This 492-nucleotide ribosomal RNA is filed under the name uncultured bacterium. RNAcentral describes it as "partial 16S ribosomal RNA". It matches the Rfam family "Bacterial small subunit ribosomal RNA", at positions 29 to 507 of the family's 1533-position model. The record is from RNAcentral.